CUCCCCAGUCCUUCCUAACAUAGCUGUUAGGUCUUUAACACUGUCUGUCAGUCUCUACCUCUGUCUCCCCAGUCCCUCCUAACAUAGCUGUUAGGUCUUUAACACUGUCUGUCAGUCUCUACCUCUGUCUCUGUCUCCCCAGCCCCUCCUAACAUAGCUGUUAGGUCUUUAACACUGUCUGUCAGUCUCUACCUCUGUCUCCCCAGUCCUUCCUAACAUAGCUGUUAGGUCUUUAACACUGUCUGUCAGUCUCUACCUCUGUCUCUGUCUCCCCAGUCCUUCCUAACAUAGCUGUUAGGUCUUU
This 304-nucleotide long non-coding RNA is filed under the name Salmo salar (Atlantic salmon). Its description in RNAcentral is "lncRNA (ENSSSAG00000091281.1)". The record is from RNAcentral. Lineage: Eukaryota; Metazoa; Chordata; Actinopteri; Salmoniformes; Salmonidae.